RNAcentral lists this unclassified non-coding RNA (641 nucleotides) under Homo sapiens (human). Lineage: Eukaryota; Metazoa; Chordata; Mammalia; Primates; Hominidae. The record is from RNAcentral.
ACCUGCUCGCAGCACCCUGCUGUCUUCCCGGUCCGGCCCGCUGCCCGCGGCGCCAGCACCAUGCAUCUGUGGAACCCUCCAUUCUGUGGAUCAGUAUCUCAACAUCAAACUAACUGACAUCAGUGUCACAGACCCUGAGAAAUACCCUCACAUGUUAUCAGUGAAGAACUGCUUCAUUCGGGGCUCAGUGGUCCGAUACGUGCAGCUGCCAGCAGAUGAGGUCGACACACAGUUGCUACAGGAUGCGGCAAGGAAGGAAGCCCUGCAGCAGAAACAGUGAUGGCUCCUCCUCCUCUUCCCCUCCCUCUUUCAUUGGUGACCCAUAACCCCAAGUCCCAGCCCAGAACCCCUAACCCCCAAUACUUGAAGGGGUUUUGUUUUUUUACUAAUGAUGGUUUUGUGGGUUUUUUUUAAGGGAUGAGUGGAUGAGAGGAGUAAUAGGGAACAGCUAUCCUCUCUUGAGAAGGGGAGGAUAAGUAGGCUGGGAAACUUCAAAGCCUUCCCAGUCCCCAGCACCUGCCUUUCUCACUACUUCUCUGGAGAUGGUAGGAGAGUUUCCUAGGUCUUUCCAGGGCAGCAUGUGAUUCAUUUGGGGAUGGAAGGAAUCUGUCCCGCAUCGGGAAUAAAAUUUAUGAUGCAAA